This is a transfer RNA of Candidatus Methylopumilus planktonicus, 73 nucleotides long. It matches the Rfam family "tRNA". Rfam says of the family: Transfer RNA (tRNA) molecules are approximately 80 nucleotides in length. Their secondary structure includes four short double-helical elements and three loops (D, anti-codon, and T loops). The record is from Rfam. NCBI's taxonomy places the organism in Bacteria, Pseudomonadati, Pseudomonadota, Betaproteobacteria, Nitrosomonadales, Methylophilaceae.
GCGGGUGUAGCUCAGCUGGUAGAGCAUUAGUUUUCCAAACUAAAUGUCGCGAGUUCGAACCUCGUCGCCCGCU